CCCAUGGGGGCCCGGCUUACACAUGCAGUCGAGCGGGGAAAGGUAGCUUGCUACUUGACCUAGCGGCGGACGGGUGAGUAAUGCUUAGGAAUCUGCCUAUUAGUGGGGGACAACAACUCGAAAGGGAUGCUAAUACCGCAUACGUCCUACGGGAGAAAGCAGGGGACCUUCGGGCCUUGCGCUAAUAGAUGAGCCUAAGUCGGAUUAGCUAGUUGGUGGGGUAAAGGCCUACCAAGGCGACGAUCUGUAGCGGGUCUGAGAGGAUGAUCCGCCACACUGGGACUGAGACACGGCCCAGACUCCUACGGGAGGCAGCACUGGGGAAUAUUGGACAAUGGGGGGAACCCUGAUCCAGCCAUGCCGCGUGUGUGAAGAAGGCCUUUUGGUUGUAAAGCACUUUAAGCGAGGAGGAGGCUACCGAGAUUAAUACUCUUGGAUAGUGGACGUUACUCGCAGAAUAAGCACCGGCUAACUCUGUGCCAGCAGCCGCGGUAAUACAGAGGGUGCAAGCGUUAAUCGGAUUUACUGGGCGUAAAGCGCGCGUAGGUGGCCAAUUAAGUCAAAUGUGAAAUCCCCGAGCUUAACUUGGGAAUUGCAUUCGAUACUGGUUGGCUAGAGUAUGGGAGAGGAUGGUAGAAUUCCAGGUGUAGCGGUGAAAUGCGUAGAGAUCUGAAGGAAUACCGAUGGCGAAGGCAGCCAUCUGGCCUAAUACUGACACUGAGGUGCGAAAGCAUGGGGAGCAAACAGGAUUAGAUACC
Molecule: ribosomal RNA, 758 nt
Filed under: Pseudomonadales bacterium 3Y2
Lineage: Bacteria; Pseudomonadati; Pseudomonadota; Gammaproteobacteria; Pseudomonadales
Description: bacterial SSU rRNA
Rfam family: Bacterial small subunit ribosomal RNA
Source: RNAcentral